AAAAUUUUUAAAUAUUUUUAAUGGGGGUUAAAGUAUUUUUAAAGAAAAAAUUAUUAAAUUUAUAGUGUAUUAGUAUAGUGUUAGAAUUUUUAAAUAUUUGAAAAAUGAAUUUUUUUAAAAGUAAUUUUAGUUUGGUGUAUCUUGUGUAUCAGAGUUUAUUAAAAAAAUUUUUUAGGUAAAUAUUUCUCGAAUUUAAAAGAGAUAAUUAAUUAAUAGAGUUAUUGUUGCAUAAAUAUUUUAAAUAAUUAAUUUGAAAUGAAAUGUUAAUCGUUUUUAAAUAUAUCUAGUUUUCUUAGAAAAAAAUUUAAUUUUAUAUUAAGAAAAAAAUAUUUUAAUUAAUUAAAAUAUUUUUUUUUUAGUGUAAUAUUUUAAGGGAUAAGCUUUAAAUUAAAUUUAUAUAAGUAAAUUGUUUAUGUUUUGAAAAUUUUAUAAUUUAUAUUGUUAAAAAAUUUUAAUUUAUUAUAAAUAAUUUCAUUAAUAUUAAAAUUUAAUUUUAUUUUAUAUUUUUAUAAGGGGGUAAUAAAAAUAUGAUUAAAAUUAGUUAUAAUGAUAAAAUUAGUAUAUAAAUAUCUUAAAGUAUGUAUUUUUAUUAUAUUUAAUUAAAAGGAAUUCGGCAAAUUUUUAUAUUCACUUGUUUAUCAAAAACAUGUCUUUUUGAAUUUAAUAUAAAGUCUAAUCUGCCCACUGAUUUAGAAAUUAAAGGGCUGCAGUAUUUUGACUGUACAAAGGUAGCAUAAUCAAUAGUCAUUUAAUUGAUGACUUGUAUGAAAGAUUGGAUGAGAUAUAGACUGUCUCUUAAUUAUUAUUGUAGAAUUUAAUUUUUUAAUUAAAAAGUUAAAAUAUAUUAAAAAGACGAGAAGACCCUAUAGAGUUUUAUAUUUAAGUUUAUUAAGAUUAUUUAUAAGUUAAUGUAUUAAAAUUAAUUUAAAUAUUUUGUUGGGGUGACAGAAAAAUAUAUUUAACUUUUUUUAUUUUAAAACAUUUAUAAGUGAUUAUUUGAUCCAGUAUUAUUGAUUAUAAGAAAAAAUUACCUUAGGGAUAACAGCGUAAUUUUUUUUUUUAGUUCAUAUAAGAAAAAGAGUUUGCGACCUCGAUGUUGGAUUAAGAUAAAAUUUAAAUGCAGAAGUUUAAAAUUUUUGAUCUGUUCGAUCAUUAAAAUCUUACAUGAUCUGAGUUCAAACCGGUGUAAGCCAGGUUGGUUUCUAUCUUUUAAAAGUUAAAAUAUUUUAGUACGAAAGGAUUAAAUAUUUAAAUUAAAUUUAUAUAAAAUGAAUUUUAUUAAAUU
This 1285-nucleotide ribosomal RNA is filed under the name Blenina donans. Its description in RNAcentral is "16S ribosomal RNA". Lineage: Eukaryota; Metazoa; Arthropoda; Insecta; Lepidoptera; Nolidae. The record is from RNAcentral.